RNAcentral lists this ribosomal RNA (497 nucleotides) under uncultured bacterium. RNAcentral describes it as "partial 16S ribosomal RNA". It matches the Rfam family "Bacterial small subunit ribosomal RNA", at positions 28 to 507 of the family's 1533-position model. The record is from RNAcentral.
GAUGAACGCUGGCGGCGUGCCUAAUACAUGCAAGUCGAGCGAACAGACGAGGAGCUUGCUUCUCUGACGUUAGCGGCGGACGGGUGAGGAACACGUGGAUAACCUACCUAGAAGACUGGGAUAACUUCGGGAAACCGGAGCUAAUACCGGAUAAUAUAUUGAACCGCAUGGUUCAAUAGUGAAAGACGGUUUUGCUGUCACUUAUAGAUGGAUCCACGCCGUAUUAGCUAGUUGGUAAUGUAACGGCCUACCAAGGCAACGAUGCGUAGCCGACCUGAGAGGAUGAUCAGCCACACUGGAACUGAGACACGGUCCAGACUCCUACGGGAGGCAGCAGUGGGGAAUCUUCGGCAAUGGGCGAAAGCCUGAUGCAGCCACGCCGCGUGUGUGAAGAAGGUCUUCGGAUUGUAAAGCUCUUUAAUUAGGGAAGAAGAGCAGUAAGUUAAUACCUGCCUGUUUUGACGUUACCUACAGAAAAAGCACCGGCUAACUUCGUG